This 446-nucleotide ribosomal RNA is filed under the name uncultured bacterium. RNAcentral's name for it is "partial 16S ribosomal RNA". It matches the Rfam family "Bacterial small subunit ribosomal RNA", at positions 338 to 795 of the family's 1533-position model. The record is from RNAcentral.
CCUACGGGAGGCUGCAGUAGGGAAUUUUCGGCAAUGGGGGGAACCCUGACCGAGCAACGCCGCGUGAACGAAGAAGUUAUUCGUAAUGUAAAGUUCUUUUAACAGGGAAGAAAGAGAAAUUUGACGGUACCUGAAGAAUACGCUCCGGCAAACUACGUGCCAGCAGCCGCGUUAAUACGUAGGGAGCGGGCUUUAUCCGGAAUUAUUGGGCGUAAAGGGGGCGUAGAGGGCAUAGUAAGGCUUCGGGAAGAAUGCUGGGCUAACCCCAGUAGGGCAAAAGAUACUGCAAAGCUAGAGUAUGACAGGGGCAAGUGGAACUACAUGUGUAGCGGUAAAAUGCGUAGAUAUAUGUAGGAACACCAGUGGCGAAGGCGGCUUGCUGGGUCGAUACUGACAUUGAGGCACGAAAGCGUGGGGAGCAAACAGGAUUAGAUACCCGUGUAGUC